Molecule: ribosomal RNA, 463 nt
Filed under: uncultured Nitrospira sp.
Lineage: Bacteria; Pseudomonadati; Nitrospirota; Nitrospiria; Nitrospirales; Nitrospiraceae
Description: partial 16S ribosomal RNA
Rfam family: Bacterial small subunit ribosomal RNA
Source: RNAcentral
GUAAGAGGCANNGACGUGAUCCAGGCGAUGAAGGUGUUUGGAUUGUAAACCCCUUUUGGGAAGGUAGAUGGAAAGGGUAACCAUUGGGACGGUACCUCCAGAAGCAGCCACGGAUAAUUUUGUCCCCGCAGCCGCGAUAAUAAGAAGGUGGCNAGCGUUUUUGGGUUUCNGGGGGUAAACAGGGAGUGUAGGCGUUUGGGUAAGCCCUCCGAAAUAUCUCCGGUCNUAAUCCGAAAAGCGCAGAGGGGAGUGCUUGGCGAGUGGACGAGAGAGGAGCGGAGAAUUCCCGGUGGAGCGGAAAAUUGCGUAGAGAUCGGGAGGAAGCACGGUGGAGAAGGCGGCGCUGUGGAACGUUUCUGACGCUGAGGCUCGAAAGCGUGGGGAGCAACCNGGAUUAGNNNCCCUGGUUGUCCACGCNNNNAAUNAUGGAUAUUAAGGGUCGGCNGGUUACCGUUCGGNGCGC